AGCGAACGCUGGCGGCAGGCUUAACACAUGCAAGUCGAACGCCCCGCAAGGGGAGUGGCAGACGGGUGAGUAACACGUGGGAACGUACCCUUUGGUUCGGAAUAACUUGGGGAAACUCAAGCUAAUACCGGAUAAGCCCUUAUGGGGAAAGGUUUACUGCCGAAGGAUCGGCCCGCGUCUGAUUAGCUAGUUGGUGAGGUAAUGGCUCAACAAGGCGACGAUCAGUAGCUGGUCUGAGAGGAUGAUCAGCCACACUAGGACUGAGACACGGCCCAGACUCCUACGGGAGGCAGCAGUGGGGAAUAUUGGACAAUGGGGGCAACCCUGAUCCAGCCAUGCCGCGUGAGUGAUGAAGGCCUUAGGGUUGUAAAGCUCUUUUACCCGGGACGAUAAUGACUGUACCGGGAGAAUAAGCCCCGGCUAACUUCGUGCCAGCCGCCGCGGUAA
Molecule: ribosomal RNA, 447 nt
Filed under: uncultured bacterium
Lineage: Bacteria
Description: partial 16S ribosomal RNA
Rfam family: Bacterial small subunit ribosomal RNA
Source: RNAcentral